GGACCCGUAGCUUAACCGGCAGAGCAGCCGGCUCAUAACCGGUAUUGUGGAGGUUCGACGCCUUCCGGGUCCACCA
RNAcentral lists this transfer RNA (76 nucleotides) under Olavius algarvensis Delta 1 endosymbiont. RNAcentral describes it as "tRNA-Met-CAT". It matches the Rfam family "tRNA". From Rfam's summary of the family: Transfer RNA (tRNA) molecules are approximately 80 nucleotides in length. Their secondary structure includes four short double-helical elements and three loops (D, anti-codon, and T loops). Lineage: Bacteria; Deltaproteobacteria. The record is from RNAcentral.